Molecule: ribosomal RNA, 429 nt
Filed under: Actinomycetes bacterium
Lineage: Bacteria; Bacillati; Actinomycetota; Actinomycetes
Description: Actinobacteria bacterium partial 16S ribosomal RNA
Rfam family: Bacterial small subunit ribosomal RNA
Source: RNAcentral
UAGGGAAUCUUCCGCAAUGGGCGAAAGCCUGACGGAGCAACGCCGCGUGAGUGAUGAAGGUCUUCGGAUCGUAAAACUCUGUUAUUAGGGAAGAACAAAUGUGUAAGUAACUAUGCACGUCUUGACGGUACCUAAUCAGAAAGCCACGGCUAACUACGUGCCAGCAGCCGCGGUAAUACGUAGGUGGCAAGCGUUAUCCGGAAUUAUUGGGCGUAAAGCGCGCGUAGGCGGUUUUUUAAGUCUGAUGUGAAAGCCCACGGCUCAACCGUGGAGGGUCAUUGGAAACUGGAAAACUUGAGUAGUGGAGAGGAAAGUGGAAUUCCUAGUGUAGUGGUGAAAUACGUAGAUAUUAGGAGGAAUACCAGUAGCGAAGGCGACUUUCUGGACACAAACUGACGCUGAGGUACGAAAGCGUGGGGAGCAAACAGG